RNAcentral lists this ribosomal RNA (492 nucleotides) under uncultured archaeon. Its description in RNAcentral is "bacterial SSU rRNA". It matches the Rfam family "Archaeal small subunit ribosomal RNA", at positions 161 to 656 of the family's 1478-position model. The record is from RNAcentral.
UCAUGAUUUCUGGAAUGAUUCAUGGCUCAAACCUACAUGGCCCCUGGAUUGGACUGCGGCCGAUCAGGCUGUUGGUGAGGUAAUGGCCCACCAAACCUGUUACCGGUACGGGCUCUGAGAGGAGGAGCCCGGAGAUGGGCACUGAGACAAGGGCCCAGGCCCUAUGGGGCGCAGCAGGCGCGAAACCUCUGCAAUAGGCGAAAGCCUGACAGGGUUACUCUGAGUGAUUUCCGCUAAGGGAAUCUUUUGGCACCUCUAAAAAUGGUGCGGAAUAAGGGGUGGGCAAGUCUGGUGUCAGCCGCCGCGGUAAUACCAGCACCCCGAGUGGUCGGGACGAUUAUUGGGCCUAAAGCAUCCGUAGCCGGUCCUACAAGUCUUCCGUUAAAUCCAGCUGCUUAACAGAUGGGCCGCGGGAGAUACUACAGGGCUAGGAGGCGGGAGAGGCAAGCGGUACUUUAUGGGUAGGGGUAAAAUCCGCUGAUCCAUAGAAGA